CCCAAGAUGCCGCUGGUGAUGAAUCCA
Molecule: non-coding RNA, 27 nt
Filed under: Homo sapiens (human)
Lineage: Eukaryota; Metazoa; Chordata; Mammalia; Primates; Hominidae
Source: RNAcentral